ACAGCGUCCGGAGAUCACACGCUCCGGGAAACCUGCGUGCUGCAGCCGGAUCCACGCCAGCAGGCUUGAGUUGCGUUAGACAGUAAGAGCAGCAAUCAAAGUGCUUUCUGUGCCCCCUGCAGUAGUCAGUGGAUCCUGUGUUUUGUCCGCCCUCUGAGCUGAGGAUGGGGUGACAGAUGCCAAGCAUUCUGGAUCAGCAUCUAACAACCCAUGUUCAGUUCCUGUGAAUUCGUCUCUAAUUCAGUUGGUGAAGAUCACUGUCUCUUUCAAUUCCAAGAUCCCCCGUCCUACUUCCUGCUGUGCGGAGAGACAAUGGAACACCCAUGGUCAUUUUGGAGCCUGGCGGAGGGCAUGGAGCGAGACUCGAUGAGCUUGGGUUUAGUGGCUGUGUAAGUCUAGGCCGCUAUCACGUGCAUUCGUAGUUAAGUCACUAACAGCUGCCCCAUGUAGGGAUGGCUUCCAGGGACAUUUCUGCCACCUGCUGUGCCCACCCCCAGCCUCCAAAGCUGUAGGGCUGGAAGUCAUGUGGCAGUGUGAUGUCCUACGGUGCCUGCGGCAGUAUGUGUGUGUUAGUAGAGAAGGAGCAAGGUUUGGAAUGUACGGAGUUAGAAGCUAGUCUGUGGAAAAUUCUUUUAAAUCCUAUAGCCCACUUACAACAGAAACUUGGUAGAAGUUUUUCCAAAUUUGUUAACAAUCCUAAAAAUUUACAUGACGUUGCUGAUUACAAGUUGUCAAACUGAAACUUUUCUAAAUUACCAAUAAUAAACAAAUACCCAUCAAUUAUGCUAAAGAAAAGACUAAACUAUCUUGAUAUUCUUGAAACUUAAAAAAUUGUUUCCAUAUGCAUUUAAUAAAGUACGAAAAAGAUGUUAUAUAGGGAUGUGUCAGGCAAUUAGUAAAAGUAUUAAAUUAUUUAAUUUUUUGAUGUAUGUUGCAUUUGUCAGUUUCUAAAAAUGUGUAAUUGUGAUUUCUUAUUCUAAACAAAUAUUCACUUUUAUACCUAAUUUUGAAUUUAUAAUUUUGUAUUCUUUUUUAAAAGAAAAAUUCCCAAAUUGUGUGUCAGGUUCUGUAAAUCCCGAACCUGACCCUGGAAGUUUGACCCCUCCUCGGCUGUUUGGUGCCUGCCCUGAAAGGCAGACUCUGCCUGCGCGGCUGGAAGCCUGGUGCUCAAGCUGCAGGCAGAUCCGUGAGUGGCCCAAGUCAUUUGUUUAAAUUUUUCAUGCACAGAACUAAAAUCUCCUGGAGUAUCUUGCCUUUCCUAAGACUUUAAAAAAUUUUUUUCAGUCAGGGGUAAAGCCAUAGGAGAUUUAAUGGGAUAAUCUGACUGUAGUUGAAAAUUGGAUGCUACCUAAUUGUGUGAAUUUCACCAAGUCAAUAAAUAUAUCUUUUUUGACCCCAAUUUCUUCAUCUCUCAUCUGGGCAUAAUUAUGAUGGUCCACCUCUCUUACAGGGUUAUGGUGGGUAUGACUGGGAUUAAAGGAGAGGUUAAAGUUUCUGAAAAGUACAGAGUGUUUUGCAAACAGAAGGAAUUGUGUUUUAUUUAUAAAGUCAAAGCACCCAUCUUCUAAACCUGAGAUUUUAGGCACUGAGAUUGGAAUUCCAAGUGAGUCAAUAUUUUCUGCAUUUGUUCCUCUGACAAUCACAACACUGUGUGUUGUAUAGGUCUGGCGCAAAAAGCCGUGGUGCCCUGAUUGUGGCAGGCGUGACAGGGCAAGCAACCAUCUCGCUAGAUGUUGUGGUUGUUCAAGGAUUUGGUGUAUAAGGGGGGCUUAAUCCAAUUCUCUUUCUCAAGCGCUGCUUCAUCGAGGUGAGUUUCUCCCUCUACACUGAAUCUUCUGAUACUUCUAAUUGACUUGAAAGUAUCUUGUGUCUCCUUGGAAAUGUCACCUAGCCCUUUUCAAGUAUACUUCCAGGCAACUAGGAUCAAUACAUCGCUUAGGUUAAGCAUAUUAGAUAGUGAUUGACAGCCCAAAUGGCAUAUGCUUCAGCAGCUAGCAUCAGUUCUGUGCUUAGGACCUGCUGCAACCCAUUCAUAUCUAGGAGCAGGUGUCAACAACCUAGGAAGCAACGUCUUGAGAAGAGGUGUAGCCUGGAGGCAGACACAGUGGAGUUGAUCACAGCUGGCCUCUAUAUUUCAGCUGGUCAGAGGGCUUGGAAUUCAGAGUCACUUCCAAUUAAACAGUUAUUUGCUGGGCACCUAUUUUGUUCCAGACAUUCUGUUGUACGUGAUGGGAUAUAACGAGAAUCAAGCUUGUCGGUCCCUGUAAUGAGCUUACAGUAUAGUCGUGGGUUAAACUCAUACACAACAUGCUCAUGUCAAUUGGGCUAAUGGCUGUAACAGCAGCAGGAAAAAAACUUCCAACAUCCAAGGGAGGAAUAGAUAAUGUCCUGUCCAUUUGGCCUUCAAUUUUCUUUAUUUGAACAGUGUGGAAGGCCUGAGUAAGAAGAGACUUAGGUUGAAAAAUUGCAAAUUAACCCUUACACCAGCUCAGCGCACAGAUGACUUGUUCUUUCCAUUUAACCAUCCAAUAGUCAUUUCCCUAAUGUGCUACUCACCUUACCUGGCCCUACUUAAAGUAAAGAAUAUUCACUUCCUGACUUCAGGGAGUCGCUGGUCUAAUACCAUGGUCUUCCAUGUGUGCAGACAGCACUGCUGGCUCUUGGGGGCAGGACGUGUCCUGCUGGGCAGCACAGCGGAGCAGCUCUAGGGGUUAUGUCUGUGGACAUGGGCCACCACAGCCUGGCCCAUGUCAUGGUUGAACAUGCAACUUUGGCUUCAUUUGUUGUGGCCCAAGCACCUGACAACCAUUGUCUCCUACAGAGCCCUGCUAUUCCUGGGGCUUUUGUUCUUCUAAGUUGAAGGGCAGUAGAGCGAAUAAACACAGACAAAAAGGUGUCUUCUCUGUGAAGGUACAAGGGAGGGGAAUGGAGAGCCACGGCCUUGGAGUAGAAGACCUGGAUUCUAGUCCCACCUUAGCUGCCAUGAGUGGCUUUUUUCCUGCCCUCCCCAACUCUUCUGAUACAUUCUCAAGCAGGUUGGGGAGGUGUGUGUGUAUGUGUGCAUUUCUAGACAUCACUACCUUUACCUGCAGGUCAAAGGCUUGGCUCUGUCUAGAUGGACUCAAGAGGGUUUGGGCAGUGAUGGCAGUGAGCCCGGGACAAGCUCCGCGGCGGCAGUCCUGUACUUCCCCCCGUGCCGGGCCACCUCCUCUAUUCUCCUGCUCUUUGACUCCCAUGCUUGUGAAUCUCGCCUUGGCUAACUGCUCGCAGGCCACUCUGGCAGCUCCAGCCAGCCUCCUCCUCACUGUUUGUGGGGCCCUGUGCACUGCUGCGCUUCUGGUUCCCCUCAUGCCUGGAUUUCCUGUGAGUUUAUGUCUUAAGGUGACUCUUUCCAUGCAGGUCAUGGAAGAAGGGACUUAUUGAGAUUGGAGACCCUGAAAUUCACUAAGUAAAAGGGGCACUGGUUAAAGGAUCUAAUGAAUGUAAAGCACUCAGCAUGGUCCUUUCAAGUAGG
Molecule: non-coding RNA, 3514 nt
Organism: Microcebus murinus (gray mouse lemur)
Lineage: Eukaryota; Metazoa; Chordata; Mammalia; Primates; Cheirogaleidae
Source: RefSeq, a predicted model, not a curated record